RNAcentral lists this long non-coding RNA (1899 nucleotides) under Cricetulus griseus (Chinese hamster). RNAcentral's name for it is "lncRNA (ENSCGRG00015034270.1)". Lineage: Eukaryota; Metazoa; Chordata; Mammalia; Rodentia; Cricetidae. The record is from RNAcentral.
ACUUCCAAAAAUUCUCUUCACCCCCCACUACCCAGAUACCAAUCAAUUCAGGGUUAAGAGUAUUAUUUUUUUUAUUAUAAUCUUUCAGAGAAAACCAAGGCAAUGUCAGUAUUUCAGGGAGACAAGAUUUCAUCGCACAAUUCAAACAGGAGAGUAGAGUCAGCAGCCACCAUGUCCAGACGAUGUGACCAAGCAUCAACAGCUGUUGACACAGCAAAAACUAAGUCCUGAAAAUCAAAAAGGGACACGUCUUAGACCUCAGAAUAACCCAGGCUAGCCUAACAACGUCACUAUGGACAGCACCGAGACAGGCAUACCUGUAGACAACUCUUAAGUACUCUUAAGUACCUGGUAGUCACAGAUCACACAGAAGUGAGGUAAGCCAUGGAGAAAGCAGCAAACCGCAUUCCUCCCGACCACAAGCCAAACCCAUUACACUCCACCCAAGUUGCCCUUAGUAGUCAGGGCCUGUUUUAUUACAGCAAUAGAAAGUGAACUGCAACACUCACCACCACAGCAAGGAGAAAGUGCUUGCUCUCCACCAGAGACUGGCAUGACUGGGCAGGCAGUCACACCAUCCUGGGUCACGUCUAAGAGCAGAUUCCACCUUAGGCUGGGUUCCUCAGGUCAGGCCACAAUCUAGGUUUUCAGAGCUCACUCUAGAGAUGAAAACAGGAUUAUCAGUGACAGCAGCAGGUACCAGCGACGUACCUCAGUAAAGCCAGAACAUACACAGCUUCUGGAAUACCGGAUUCCAUGCCAAGGAAGUGUAGGUAGUACACCCAGAAUAAAGAUUCAGGCUCCUCAAGUGAGUCAGAUUUAUAGUUGACAUCAGAACCAGCGUCAGAGACUCUAGUCUGUGAAAUCAUCACUCCCAAUUGAGGGAGACCCGAACCAGAGGCAGUAGGGAAGAAUAUAGCAAAAGGCCAGGGAACACUAUAGUCUGAGAAUCCAGCAAGAGGACUGAGAACUGGCUCAGCGAUUAAGAGCACUGGGGUUAUACUCUCAGGAUCCACAUGGCAAUUUGCAACCGCCUGUAAUUCCAGUUACAAGGGACCUGACGCCCUUACAGACAAGCGAGCACACAGCAUUUUAAAAAGCUCAACAAAUGAAAGCAAAUGUCAAUGCCCAUGAAGCCGCCGUGAGGUACCAACCUUUCUGCAGCAGCAAGCGGCCGGUGGGUGUCCUCCAACCCCUAAGGGGAAGCAAAGACACACAAGGAAAUCACUCAGCACUCCAGGCCACCAAAGCGCAGACCCCACAGUGCUGCACACCCCGCUCCCGGGGGCGGGCGGUCAGCGCGCUGCGGUGAUGGCGUCAGCGAGACACUCAGAAUCACCAGAGGUCAUCAUCGCCGCCGCCCCCGAGGCCGGCCCCUCCACAUCCCGCCCCGGGGCUCCUGCCACCUACCAUGGUGCGGCCGGGGCCUGCGCGCGAGGACGAGCAGCCUGGGGAGAGAACAGGGCGAGCAGUGAGCAGGCGUGCGCCAGACCCGGGCCGGCCGGGCCCCCUCCUCCCCCGGGCCGGGUCAGUUCCAAGAGUGGCGUCACGGGGACAUCGGAAACUCUAGUCUGUAAUGCGGUCAUCCUGCCCGGCCCUCCCCGCCGCGCCCUCCCCACGGGGCCCCGGGGUACCUGCUACACGAGGCCGGCGCGCGGGGGCCACGACCGCCGCAGAGCGCAGAGCGAGCAUCGCCGCCAGCGCGCACAAAGAGACACGUGGCCGCCCGCCUGCGCGCUUUAUAGCGGCGCCCGGCCGGGGUCCUGACGCGCACAGUCGUCUGCGGCUGUGCCUGACCCGCUCGCGCUGGCGAAUGCGGGGGAGCAAAGCGGAAUUGUGUCGCUCACUCUCCUGGGUGGAGAGUCUUGCGUGCCUCGUGAAUCCUGCUGAUGAAUUUCC